GGGCUUGAUUUGGCUUCGAUUGUAACUUAACAGUGAUGCUCCCGGCAAAACAAAUAAGCGUCAAAUAUAUUCGCAAUUUCGUUCAGUCUGUUGUUCAGUCUAUUAAGACUUUUUUCGGUCAGUCGUUUUCUUUUCAACCUGCAUAUUAAGCAGGAACGCCGGUAAUAGAUAAACUGCUCUAAUUAUAAGACGUGGGUUCGAUUCCCACCAAGUCCACUA
This 219-nucleotide transfer-messenger RNA is filed under the name Chryseobacterium sp. It matches the Rfam family "transfer-messenger RNA". From Rfam's summary of the family: Bacterial tmRNA, also known as 10Sa RNA or SsrA, is named for its dual tRNA and mRNA-like properties. Its role is to liberate the mRNA from a stalled ribosome. Lineage: Bacteria; Pseudomonadati; Bacteroidota; Flavobacteriia; Flavobacteriales; Weeksellaceae. The record is from RNAcentral.